GUAGUCCACGCCGUAAACGAUGAAUACUAGGUGUAGGAGGUAUCGACCCCUUCUGUGCCGCAGUUAACACAAUAAGUAUUCCGCCUGGGGAGUACGAUCGCAAGAUUAAAACUCAAAGGAAUUGACGGGGGCCCGCACAAGCAGCGGAGCAUGUGGUUUAAUUCGAAGCAACGCGAAGAACCUUACCUAGACUUGACAUCUCCUGAAUUACCCUUAAUCGGGGAAGCCCUUCGGGGCAGGAAGACAGGUGGUGCAUGGUUGUCGUCAGCUCGUGUCGUGAGAUGUUGGGUUAAGUCCCGCAACGAGCGCAACCCUUAUCAUUAGUUGCUACCAUUAAGUUGAGCACUCUAGUGAGACUGCCACGGUUAACGUGGA
Molecule: ribosomal RNA, 375 nt
Filed under: uncultured bacterium
Lineage: Bacteria
Description: bacterial SSU rRNA
Rfam family: Bacterial small subunit ribosomal RNA
Source: RNAcentral